GUGGGGAAUAUUGGACAAUGGGCGAAAGCCUGAUCCAGUCAUGCCGCGUGUGUGAAGAAGGUCUUCGGAUUGUAAAGCACUUUAAGUUGGGAGGAAGGGCAGUAAGUUAAUACCUUGCUGUUUUGACGUUACCGACAGAAUAAGCACCGGCUAACUUCGUGCCAGCAGCCGCGGUAAUACGAAGGGUGCAAGCGUUAAUCGGAAUUACUGGGCGUAAAGCGCGCGUAGGUGGUUUUGUAAGUUGGAGGUGAAAUCCCCGGGCUCAACCUGGGAACUGCCUCCAAAACUGCAUGACUAGAGUACGGUAGAGGGUAGUGGAAUUUCCUGUGUAGCGGUGAAAUGCGUAGAUAUAGGAAGGAACACCAGUGGCGAAGGCGACUACCUGGACUGAUACUGACACUGAGGUGCGAAAGCGUGGGGAGCAAACAGGAUUAGAAACCCGAGUAGUCC
This 450-nucleotide ribosomal RNA is filed under the name uncultured bacterium. RNAcentral describes it as "partial 16S ribosomal RNA". It matches the Rfam family "Bacterial small subunit ribosomal RNA", at positions 354 to 796 of the family's 1533-position model. The record is from RNAcentral.